This 596-nucleotide ribosomal RNA is filed under the name Biscogniauxia mediterranea. Its description in RNAcentral is "eukaryotic LSU rRNA". It matches the Rfam family "Eukaryotic large subunit ribosomal RNA", at positions 34 to 654 of the family's 3401-position model. The record is from RNAcentral. Lineage: Eukaryota; Fungi; Ascomycota; Sordariomycetes; Xylariales; Xylariaceae.
UUAAGCAUAUCAAUAAGCGGAGGAAAAGAAACCAACAGGGAUUGCCCUAGUAACGGCGAGUGAAGCGGCAACAGCUCAAAUUUGAAAUCUGGCCUUCGGGUCCGAGUUGUAAUUUGUAGAGGAUGCUUUUGGCGCGGUGCCUUCCGAGUUCCCUGGAACGGGACGCCUUAGAGGGUGAGAGCCCCGUACGGUUGGACACCAAGCCUCUGUAAAGCUCCUUCGACGAGUCGAGUAGUUUGGGAAUGCUGCUCUAAAUGGGAGGUAAAUUUCUUCUAAAGCUAAAUACCGGCCAGAGACCGAUAGCGCACAAGUAGAGUGAUCGAAAGAUGAAAAGCACUUUGAAAAGAGGGUUAAAUAGCACGUGAAAUUGUUGAAAGGGAAGCGUUUACGGCCAGACCUUUUCCUGGCGGAUCAUCUGGUGUUCUCACCAGUGCACUCCGCCAGGUUUAGGCCAGCAUCGGCUCCCGUAGGGGGAUAAAAGCAGUGGGAAAGUAGCUCCCUCGGGAGUGUUAUAGCCCGCUGCACAAUACCCUUACAGGGGCCGAGGACCGCGCUUUUGCAAGGAUGCUGGCGUAAUGGUCGUCAACGACCCGUCU